CGGCUAUAUAAAGAGUAUAACGAAGGAGAAAUAAAAUGUGUCAAUAAAAAGUUCGCAUAUACAAAUUGAGAUUAACCAGUUGCGAUAAAGAUCCAAGCAAAUAAUUUACAACGCCUGUGAUUAGUGAAGACGCCAAAACAAUAUCAUAGCAUCUAUGCACGUGCAACAAUGAGAAUUCUGCAAGUGAUCAAUACAUACCAUGGAAAGAAUUUUUGUUGACCGAUCAAAAAGGAAUGUUCGUGAUACAUCAAGUAAUUUUUAAGAAGCUUAUGAUGGGAGCAAGAAUUUUGGACUUUACCUCCUCUCUAAAUGAAUUUAGUUUAAUUAAUCAACUAAGAAAUGAGCAGAGAAGCCCAUAAUCUGUGUUGAUUAAUCAACUUAGAGAGGAUAAAAGAAAGAAAAAGUUCACAGCGAACAGCAAAGCCGACCAACAACACCAUGUUCUUUUGUGACGAAGUUUCAAUGGGGUUGGACAUGGAGAGCGCUACUUUUCGAAAUGUUGUGAAUACAGGGUGUUAUGUAAAAUUAUUUAUAAAUGUAUGACUAGAAGGUCAAAAAUAAUAUAUUUACAAUAAAAUAUUUUGAUAUAAACUCUUAGUGAUCAGAUUGUGAAAUGUAUUAUGUUUGUAGCUUGUAUAAAAUACAUCAAAAAUACAAAAAUAACAAAAAAUUCACACAUAAUUUUUUAGUA
Long non-coding RNA from Daucus carota subsp. sativus, 691 nucleotides. RefSeq lists it as uncharacterized. The transcript is spliced from 4 exons. The record is from RefSeq and is a predicted model, not a curated record. Lineage: Eukaryota; Viridiplantae; Streptophyta; Magnoliopsida; Apiales; Apiaceae.